CAAACAGUAAGAAGAUUCCCCUCUCUUUCUCAGUGGAUGUAAAGCAGUGAUUCUGCAUAAAUGUAUCAACACUAUAGCUCAACUCCUUCUGGAGUGGACUUCCCCUAGACCUGGAGAGCGAGUCCUGCCUAGCAUACACGGCCUGAAGUUCGAGAUCUCUUCCAAUUCAGGUCAACAAGAAAACUCAAUUCCUCUUCAGGAAGUUAAGUGACUUAAAGAUUACAUAAGAGCUAAGAAGACAAGCCAGCUAAGCAUGUUCAAGACCGGGCUUUUUGAAACUGCACUAAUUGAUCAUAACGAGACGGGGUUUCACCAUGUUGCCCAGGCUGGUCUAGAAGUCCUGGGCUGAAGCGAUCCGACCGCCUCCCAAAGUGCUGGGAUUACAGGAGUGAGCCAUCUCGCCCAGCCGAAAAAGUGUUUUUUGAUCUUAAAAUCUUACGUGGAAUGAAAGUGAACAAUGAGGCAAUGAAAGUGGAAGUUUCUCUUAAGCAAACACAGAAGUCAACCAUUCCAGCUUUCUAAGGUGGCAGUAUUGCUUUGAAACAAACGACAGCAACGACACCGUACUGUCCCAUUUUAAGAAACUUCUAGAUCCAUUGCAUUUCUAAAAUCUUACACUUUUAUUAGACUUCGCCUUUUUAAUUUAAU
Molecule: long non-coding RNA, 648 nt
Filed under: Homo sapiens (human)
Lineage: Eukaryota; Metazoa; Chordata; Mammalia; Primates; Hominidae
Description: HSALNT0339112
Source: RNAcentral